ACAUAGGUGGCAACCCUAUGUUCCUGUUUAAUAUUUUAAAUGUUCAAUAUUUUUAAAUUCCAGUUGCAUUCUUUAUAUAUGUGUGAUAAUUGACUGCAACAGACAGCUAGUCUUGACAACUAACUUAGUGCUUUUGCUAUCACAGAGUGACUGAUCAUUUAGGCUAGCUCUGAGUUAGUUUCCAUUCAAAGCGCGUGUGCCAUCGUGUUAGCAGCUAGUACUUUGCACAAGUACUUUUUAGAAAACUCUAAUACAUACUGAAGGUUGUUCUGUGUAUAGAACUAUGUGUUAUUUAUGCAUUUGUAACGUUAUUUAUUUGUUUUUCAGGUAUUUGUUCAGACUUAAAGCUAAAUGCAGUGUCGCUAUUGUACAUUUUCACAUCUGCAGCAAGACACAGGCUACAGGCUUCAUCAUUGGCAAACUUAAAGCUAAAUGCAGUGCUGCUUUUGUACAUUUUCACAUCUGCAGUGCACAUAUGCAAUGCUUCAUCAUUGGCAAGCAGACCACAGAUCUAACCACUUAUGGGUCUGCUGUUCUUCGUGGUCUUCCCCUGUACAU
Molecule: non-coding RNA, 558 nt
Organism: Pimephales promelas (fathead minnow)
Lineage: Eukaryota; Metazoa; Chordata; Actinopteri; Cypriniformes; Leuciscidae
Source: RefSeq, a predicted model, not a curated record